Molecule: long non-coding RNA, 202 nt
Filed under: Mytilus galloprovincialis (Mediterranean mussel)
Lineage: Eukaryota; Metazoa; Mollusca; Bivalvia; Mytilida; Mytilidae
Source: RNAcentral
CAUAUUUUAAAUAUGAUAUAAAUUGUUAUAAUAGCUAUUCAUUCACGGAAGUGAAAACAAUUGUUUAAGAUGUUUUAAGUAUUUACAUCAUCAGGUUCUUUACUUUAUAAGUAUUUACUUCAAGGUCAAGUAUGAAAAGUUUUACUUAAUGUACUACAAGGACGCAAUUUCACCUUCAAUAACGCCACUAUUUGUCCACCCA